Molecule: non-coding RNA, 107 nt
Organism: Gossypium hirsutum (cotton)
Lineage: Eukaryota; Viridiplantae; Streptophyta; Magnoliopsida; Malvales; Malvaceae
Source: Rfam
AUUCUGUGAUUAGGGCACUUUCGUAAUAAUUCCUUGUACCUUUCUCAUGCCUCAUAUAAUGACUCGUCAUUCAAUUUUUGGAAAAUGGUAAUCUCGUUCCUCAACUU